AACACGAAUGUCUCGCGUUUGACGUGAUGACGGAAACGGCGGUAAACGUCGGUGUGGCGUCCUCUUAAUAAUAAUAUCGGUCGAAACUGUAGUCUUAUUAAUUCGUCGUUAUAAAAUACAAUAAUCCCCGGAACGUAUGGUUCGCAGGUUCUCGACGAUGUUAAAAAAUCAACCGUGUCUCGAAAAGCUUGCGCGGCGGUCGGAUAACGGUCGUGUAUUUUUUCCUGAAAGGAACGUAGGAAUUAAAAUACUAUUAUACCCCCGACGUGGUGGUGUUUGUUUGCGCGUCCGAUCGGAAACGAAUUUCUCGUU
Cinara cedri is the source of this 312-nucleotide non-coding RNA. Lineage: Eukaryota; Metazoa; Arthropoda; Insecta; Hemiptera; Aphididae. The record is from the annotation of a GenBank genome assembly.